UGGGGAAUAUUGCACAAUGGGGGAAACCCUGAUGCAGCGACGCCGCGUGAGCGAAGAAGGCCUUCGGGUCGUAAAGCUCUUUUAUAUGGGAAGAUAAUGACGGUACCAUAAGAAAAAGCCCCGGCUAACUACGUGCCAGCAGCCGCGGUAAUACGUAAGGGGCGAGCGUUGUCCGGAAUUAUUGGGCGUAAAGAGUGCGUAGGCGGCAAAUUAAGUCAGAUGUGAAAACUAAGGGCUCAACCCAUAGAUUGCAUCUGAAACUGAUAUGCUUGGGUCAAGGAGAGGAAAGUGGAAUUCCUAGUGUAGCGGUGGAAUGCGUAGAUAUUAGGAGGAAUACCGGGGGCGAAGGCGACUUUCUUGACUUGAACUGACGCUAAGGCGCGAAAGCGUGGGGAGCAAACAGG
This 404-nucleotide ribosomal RNA is filed under the name Verrucomicrobiota bacterium. RNAcentral describes it as "Verrucomicrobia bacterium partial 16S ribosomal RNA". It matches the Rfam family "Bacterial small subunit ribosomal RNA", at positions 355 to 776 of the family's 1533-position model. Lineage: Bacteria; Pseudomonadati; Verrucomicrobiota. The record is from RNAcentral.